This 292-nucleotide ribosomal RNA is filed under the name uncultured bacterium. RNAcentral's name for it is "partial 16S ribosomal RNA". It matches the Rfam family "Bacterial small subunit ribosomal RNA", at positions 505 to 796 of the family's 1533-position model. The record is from RNAcentral.
GUGUCAGCAGCCGCGGUAAUACAGGGGGGGCGAGCGUUGUUCGGAAUUACUGGGCGUAAAGGGUUUGUAGGUGGCUUGUUAAGUCAGACGUGAAAUCCCUCAGCUUAACUGGGGAACUGCGUCUGAUACUGAUGAGCUUGAGUGCAGGAGAGGAACGCGGAAUUCCAGGUGUAGCGGUGAAAUGCGUAGAUAUCUGGAGGAACACCGGUGGCGAAGGCGGCGUUCUGGACUGCAACUGACACUGAAAAACGAAAGCCAGGGUAGCAAACGGGAUUAGAAACCCGCGUAGUCC